Molecule: ribosomal RNA, 467 nt
Filed under: uncultured bacterium
Lineage: Bacteria
Description: partial 16S ribosomal RNA
Rfam family: Bacterial small subunit ribosomal RNA
Source: RNAcentral
GAUGAACGCUGGCGGCGUGCUUAACACAUGCAAGUCGAACGGAAAGGCUCCUGCUUGCAGGGGUACUCGAGUGGCGAACGGGUGAGUAACACGUGGGUGAUCUGCCCCGCACUUCGGGAUAAGCCUGGGAAACUGGGUCUAAUACCGGAUAGGACAGUGGUUUGGAUGCCAUUGUGGAAAGUUUUUUCGGUGUGGGAUGAGCUCGCGGCCUAUCAGCUUAUUGGUGGGGUAAUGGCCUACCAAGGCGUCAACGGGUAGCCGGCCUGAGAGGGUGUACGGCCACAUUGGGACUGAGAUACGGCCCAGACUCCUACGGGAGGCAGCAGUGGGGAAUAUUGCACAAUGGGCGCAAGCCUGAUGCAGCGACGCCGCGUGGGGGAUGACGGCCUUCGGGUUGUAAACUCCUUUCGCUAGGGACGAAGCGUUAUGUGACGGUACCUAGAGAAGAAGCACCGGCUAACUACGUG